UCCGAGAGUGUGUGGUGAAUCUGCUGAUUCCAACUUGUCAGAAGGUGGAGUUUGGUUAUUUGGUUCCUGAGGUAUUCCCUCGUUGUUCAAGGAGGAAGUGGCUUAUUGGUGGUUUGGCCGUGGGCAAUCUCUAUAAGUAUCUUUCAUGGAGUUCUGAAUCUGUUGUUUCAUGUCCGUUUGGAGCCCUCACCAGUGACGUUUGGUUUCAGUCGCGUUUAUCUUUUAUUGCUGUUAUGUGUAUGUGUUUAUUGGCAUCCCUUGUAUGGGCUUAGUUUCCAGGGUCAGUUCUGUGUGACCGCUGGCUUGUGUACCGAACGUAAUCCUCUUCGGUUUAAGAAUGCUAUCUUGUAAUCCUUUAUGUUUCUUCUUAAUAAAAUCAGGCGACAAAAAAAAAA
This 395-nucleotide long non-coding RNA is filed under the name Brassica rapa (field mustard). RNAcentral's name for it is "long non-coding RNA (BRAP_LNC005510)". Lineage: Eukaryota; Viridiplantae; Streptophyta; Magnoliopsida; Brassicales; Brassicaceae. The record is from RNAcentral.